This 1450-nucleotide ribosomal RNA is filed under the name metagenome. RNAcentral describes it as "bacterial SSU rRNA". It matches the Rfam family "Bacterial small subunit ribosomal RNA". The record is from RNAcentral.
AGAGUUUGAUCUUGGCUCAGGAUGAACGCUGGCGACGUGGAUAAGGCAUGCAAGUCGAACGGGUUUAGACCCGUGGCGAACGAGGUAGUAAUACACAGGAACGUCCCCUAGAGUCGGGCAUAAUCAGCCGAAAGGUUGGCUAAUUCCCGAUGGCGUCCGAUCUCACAAGAGUUUCGGACUAAAGGCGCAAGCCGCUCUGGGAUCGGCCUGUGGGCUAUCAGCUAGUUGGUAGGGUAAUGGCCUACCAAGGCGAUGACGGCUAGGGGGGGUGAGAGCCUGUUCCCCACCGAUGGUACUGCGACACGGACCAUACACCUACGGGUGGCAGCAGCCGAGAAUCUUCCGCAAUGGGCGAAAGCCUGACGGAGCGACGUCGCGUGGUGGAUGAAGUCCUUCGGGACGUAAACACCUUUUAUUGGGGAGAAAACCGCCGCAAGGCGGUGUGAUAGUACCUGAUGAAUAAGGGGUUGCUAAACUCGUGCCAGCAGCAGCGGUAAGACGAGUACCCCAAGCGUUAUCCGGAAUUACUGGGCGUAAAGCGUGCGUAGGCGUCCCGCCGCAUCUUCAGUUAAAGCCCGAGGCCUAACCUCGGAACUGCUGGAGAGAUGGGCGGGAUCGAGGGGGCGAGAGGUCUAUGGAACUCAUGGUGUAGGGGUGAAAUCCGUUGAUAUCAUGGGGAACACCAAAAGCGAAGGCAGUAGACUGGCGCCUCUCUGACGCUGCAGCACGAAAGCGUGGGGAUCAAACGGGAUUAGAUACCCCGGUAGUCCACGCCCUAAACGAUGUUCUCUAGCUUUUCGGAGUAUCGACCCUCUGAGAGGCACAGCUAACGCGUUAAGAGAACCGCCUGGGAAGUACGGCCGCAAGGCUAAAACUCAAAAGAAUAGACGGGGACUUGCACAAGCGGUGGAUCAUGCGGUUCAAUUCGAUGGUAAACGAAGAACCUUACCAGGGCUUGAAACCCAGUUGAAGUCUCGCCGAAAGGUGGGGCGUCUCACAAGGACAACUGGGCAGGUGUUGCAUGGCUGUCGUCAGUUCGUGGCUUGAGCUGUUCCCUUAAGUGGGGAAACGAACGCAACCCUUAUUGCCUGUUACAAGUGUCAGGCGAGACUGUCCGCCUCGUGCGGAAGGAAGUGAGGAUGACGCCAAGUCAGCAUGGCCCUCUGAUGUCCUGGGCUACACGCAUGAUACAAUGACGGCCACAACGGGUCGCGACGGGGAAACCCUGAGCCAAUCCUUUAAAAGCCGCCUCAGUUCGGAUUGAGGUCUGCAACUCGACCUCAUGAAGUUGGAAUCGCUAGUAAUCGCAGGUCAGCUAUACUGCGGUGAAUACGUUCUCAAGUCUUGUACUCACCGCCCGUCAAGCCAAGGGAGUCGGGAAUACCCGAAGUUCCGCCAGUCGGCGGGCCGACGGUAAGCUCGAUGACAAGGGUUAAGUCGUAACAAGGCA